GGGCACAUGGUGUAGUUGGUUAUCACAUCCGCUUAGCAAGAACGUGCUUGAUGCGGGGGGUGCUGGGUUCAAUUCCCAGUGUGUCCA
Rhodocollybia butyracea is the source of this 87-nucleotide non-coding RNA. The record is from the annotation of a GenBank genome assembly. Lineage: Eukaryota; Fungi; Basidiomycota; Agaricomycetes; Agaricales; Omphalotaceae.